AGAGUUUGAUCAUGGCUCAGGACGAACGCUGGCGGCGUGCCUAAUACAUGCAAGUAGAACGCUGAAGAGAGGAGCUUGCUCUUCUUGGAUGAGUUGCGAACGGGUGAGUAACGCGUAGGUAACCUGCCUUGUAGCGGGGGAUAACUAUUGGAAACGAUAGCUAAUACCGCAUAACAAUGGAUGACACAUGUCAUUUAUUUGAAAGGGGCAAUUGCUCCACUACAAGAUGGACCUGCGUUGUAUUAGCUAGUAGGUGAGGUAACGGCUCACCUAGGCGACGAUACAUAGCCGACCUGAGAGGGUGAUCGGCCACACUGGGACUGAGACACGGCCCAGACUCCUACGGGAGGCAGCAGUAGGGAAUCUUCGGCAAUGGGGGCAACCCUGACCGAGCAACGCCGCGUGAGUGAAGAAGGUUUUCGGAUCGUAAAGCUCUGUUGUAAGUCAAGAACGAGUGCGAGAGUGGAAAGUUCACACUGUGACGGUAGCUUACCAGAAAGGGACGGCUAACUACGUGCCAGCAGCCGCGGUAAUACGUAGGUCCCGAGCGUUGUCCGGAUUUAUUGGGCGUAAAGCGAGCGCAGGCGGUUUGAUAAGUCUGAAGUUAAAGGCUGUGGCUCAACCAUAGUUCGCUUUGGAAACUGUCAAACUUGAGUGCAGAAGGGGAGAGUGGAAUUCCAUGUGUAGCGGUGAAAUGCGUAGAUAUAUGGAGGAACACCGGUGGCGAAAGCGGCUCUCUGGUCUGUAACUGACGCUGAGGCUCGAAAGCGUGGGGAGCGAACAGGAUUAGAUACCCUGGUAGUCCACGCCGUAAACGAUGAGUGCUAGGUGUUGGAUCCUUUCCGGGAUUCAGUGCCGCAGCUAACGCAUUAAGCACUCCGCCUGGGGAGUACGACCGCAAGGUUGAAACUCAAAGGAGUUGACGGGGGCCCGCACAAGCGGUGGAGCAUGUGGUUUAAUUCGAAGCAACGCGAAGAACCUUACCAGGUCUUGACAUCCCGAUGCUAUUUCUAGAGAUAGAAAGUUACUUCGGUACAUCGGUGACAGGUGGUGCAUGGUUGUCGUCAGCUCGUGUCGUGAGAUGUUGGGUUAAGUCCCGCAACGAGCGCAACCCCUAUUGUUAGUUGCCAUCAUUCAGUUGGGCACUCUAGCGAGACUGCCGGUAAUAAACCGGAGGAAGGUGGGGAUGACGUCAAAUCAUCAUGCCCCUUAUGACCUGGGCUACACACGUGCUACAAUGGUUGGUACAACGAGUUGCGAGUCGGUGACGGCAAGCUAAUCUCUUAAAGCCAAUCUCAGUUUGGAUUGUAGGCUGCAACUCGCCUACAUGAAGUCGGAAUCGCUAGUAAUCGCGGAUCAGCACGCCGCGGUGAAUACGUUCCCGGGCCUUGUACACACCGCCCGUCAA
This 1408-nucleotide ribosomal RNA is filed under the name uncultured bacterium. RNAcentral's name for it is "bacterial SSU rRNA". It matches the Rfam family "Bacterial small subunit ribosomal RNA". The record is from RNAcentral.